Molecule: long non-coding RNA, 700 nt
Filed under: Gossypium barbadense (sea-island cotton)
Lineage: Eukaryota; Viridiplantae; Streptophyta; Magnoliopsida; Malvales; Malvaceae
Description: long non-coding RNA (GBAR_LNC003304)
Source: RNAcentral
GAUGAUGCAAAUUAAUCAUUAUUCAUUCCAAUAUAUUUGAAGAAAGGAACAUUUGUUCAGAUAAAAUAUAGUAUAUAUUCUCUGCUCCUAUCUAAUUUAUUAUCAAUUUGCCUUCUCAACGACUGUUAUUUUACCAGAAUCCCCACUGAUUGAAUCAUACCUUUGAAACAUGCGAGCUAUAAUUUACUAUGUAAGCUGAUGGAGUUACCAUAAUAUAGCUCUUUUAUGUUUUGACUGGUGGCAAAUGGAACAGGAAAAAUCAAGUACACUAGAUUGCAGUCCAAGAACAAUUUGCAGAAGGCACAUAAUGGCUGGCUCCUACCUCUACAAAUGCAUAUGGGAGGCAUUGCAACAGCGAAUAAGAAUGAUAUUGAUCAACAUGCAGUUGACACCGUAUGUGCUCUGAAUCCGAAUUCAGGUGUGAGUUUCAGAUAUUUUAUGUGCAAAAAAGUAUUAGAGUGCCUUAUGUUUGUAUGUUAGUUAAGCAGAUUAUAGUUAGAACCUGCAGUAGGAUUGAUCAAAAACUACACCUAAUUUUGUAAUAGUCUACUUGCAUAUUUGUAUAUAUUUAAUAAUAAUCUCGUGUCAACUAAUUAUUCUAUUUUUUUAUUUAAUUGUUUUGUUUUCAACAUUUUUUUUAUUUGAGUUGAAAGAAGAAAAACAUGAAUUGUAAUUUUGACUUAGAAAAGAGAAUAUUCAU